UGGGGAAUAUUGCACAAUGGAGGGAACUCUGAUGCAGCGACGCCGCGUGAACGAAGAAGGCUUUCGAGUCGUAAUGUUCUUUUAUAUGGGAAGAUAAUGACGGUACCAUAAGAAGAAGCCCCGGCUAACUACGUGCCAGCAGCCGCGGUAAUACGUAGGGGGCUAGCGUUGUCCGGAAUCACUGGGCGUAAAGGGUUCGCAGGCGGAAAUGCAAGUCAGGUGUAAAAGGCAGUAGCUUAACUACUGUAAGCAUUUGAAACUGCAUAUCUUGAGAAGAGUAGAGGUAAGUGGAAUUUUUAGUGUAGCGGUGAAAUGCGUAGAUAUUAAAAAGAAUACCGGUGGCGAAGGCGACUUACUGGGCUCAUUCUGACGCUGAGGAACGAAAGCGUGGGUAGCAAACAGG
Molecule: ribosomal RNA, 403 nt
Filed under: bacterium
Lineage: Bacteria
Description: partial 16S ribosomal RNA
Rfam family: Bacterial small subunit ribosomal RNA
Source: RNAcentral